RNAcentral lists this ribosomal RNA (877 nucleotides) under Escherichia coli. Its description in RNAcentral is "partial 23S ribosomal RNA". It matches the Rfam family "Bacterial large subunit ribosomal RNA", at positions 1 to 911 of the family's 2925-position model. Lineage: Bacteria; Pseudomonadati; Pseudomonadota; Gammaproteobacteria; Enterobacterales; Enterobacteriaceae. The record is from RNAcentral.
GGGUUGUGAGGUUAAGCGACUAAGCGUACACGGUGGAUGCCCUGGCAGUCAGAGGCGAUGAAGGACGUGCUAAUCUGCGAUAAGCGUCGGUAAGGUGAUAUGAACCGUUAUAACCGGCGAUUUCCGAAUGGGGAAACCCAGUGUGUUUCGACACACUAUCAUUAACUGAAUCCAUAGGUUAAUGAGGCGAACCGGGGGAACUGAAACAUCUAAGUACCCCGAGGAAAAGAAAUCAACCGAGAUUCCCCCAGUAGCGGCGAGCGAACGGGGAGCAGCCCAGAGCCUGAAUCAGUGUGUGUGUUAGUGGAAGCGUCUGGAAAGGCGCGCGAUACAGGGUGACAGCCCCGUACACAAAAAUGCACAUGCUGUGAGCUCGAUGAGUAGGGCGGGACACGUGGUAUCCUGUCUGAAUAUGGGGGGACCAUCCUCCAAGGCUAAAUACUCCUGACUGACCGAUAGUGAACCAGUACCGUGAGGGAAAGGCGAAAAGAACCCCGGCGAGGGGAGUGAAAAAGAACCUGAAACCGUGUACGUACAAGCAGUGGGAGCACGCUUAGGCGUGUGACUGCGUACCUUUUGUAUAAUGGGUCAGCGACUUAUAUUCUGUAGCAAGGUUAACCGAAUAGGGGAGCCGAAGGGAAACCGAGUCUUAACUGGGCGUUAAGUUGCAGGGUAUAGACCCGAAACCCGGUGAUCUAGCCAUGGGCAGGUUGAAGGUUGGGUAACACUAACUGGAGGACCGAACCGACUAAUGUUGAAAAAUUAGCGGAUGACUUGUGGCUGGGGGUGAAAGGCCAAUCAAACCGGGAGAUAGCUGGUUCUCCCCGAAAGCUAUUUAGGUAGCGCCUCGUGAAUUCAUCUCCGGGGGUAGAGCACU